CUUCAGGGCAAUGGAAUCCCUUCUGGCCCAGAUAAGGUUCAAAAAUUCCACCUAAUAACUAAGGCCUGAAAUUGUGGCCCCCAAGAAACCACUUGGUACUCUACCUGACUGAGGCUGAGCUGGUACACAAGCUGCAAGACAAAGUCCUCUUAACUCUUCCUUCUCGUGUCCUCAAGAAGAGGGAAGAAGUCUUUCCUGGAGCUGUGAGCUGCACUGCCUGGGACUGGGAGAAGGGUGACAUAAGCACUCCUUUGGCCAACUGUCCUGGUAUCUCACUAAAUUGGGUGCCCCUCAAGUCCACUGGCUCUCAGCCCAGUACAGCAGUAGGACUUGCCCAGGAAUUGCAGUCUUGGAGUCCUAGACUGUCUUUUAAGUUUAUUUUGAAUCCCAUAGCACUUUAGCCUACUGUCGUGGGGUUAAGCAGAACUCAGGUUCUGACCUCUGGGAUGGUAAUUCCUCUUUGGCUAUGACUGGUAUAAGUGUUCUCUCCAUGGGUGCUGGCUGUAUUCUACCCUGGAAUGUUUUCCACUGUGACAGGGCAGCACUGAGUUCUAAUGAAAUGUUCCAUCAUCACUUUACCUUCCCUCCCCCAAGCAGUCAGUUUCUCUCUUUGUGCCACAUGGCCAUUGCCAGGGUGGGGAGAAUGUGGGAGGGUUGAUGUUGGCAAUUCAAGACUGUCUUUCCUACUGUCUUCAGUUUUUCUUAAUAGGAUGUUAAAACCAGUUUCGCAUCCAAAAUCAUACUUUCCAGAAAAGAAAGCUAAGAUCCAAAGAUGUUAAUGAUCUGCUGAAGACCCCACAUAUAUGUAGAAGCAAUGUCAGGACUAGAAGUUGGUUGCUUGAUUUUAUGUCACUGCUUUCUCUGACACAUAAUAAAAUUUAUGUUUUAUCCUUUAGUGGGGAAAAGUGUUAUUAACGUAUCAUAAAUAUUUUGUUUAAUAUUUUCCAAUAAUUCAUAGAGGCACAUACACAAAAUUUAAAAUUUACAAAAAGAAUCUAGUUGAAGGGAAAUGUCAGGUCAAAACACAUGUAUGCACAAUGAUGAGAUCCCUGGAUAUCUCCCUUCAUUACACUUCUAGAACACUGGAAGCCAGGAUUUUACCCUUUAGUACAGAGAGGGAGAGCCUUCUUUGAGGAAUAUAAUCAGUUCAAGAGGAAAUAAAUAACUGACAUUGAGAAAUUAGCAGUUAUCUGAAAAAAAGCCUCUAUAAAAAAAGCAGUCAUUAAAAAACAAACAAAAAACAAACAAACAAAAAAAAAAAACCCGGAAAACUUAAAGAUAGUGUCAUAGUCAGCAUUCUCCAGAAACAGACGUUGAGAUGAGAUUUUUGUAAA
RNAcentral lists this long non-coding RNA (1334 nucleotides) under Papio anubis (olive baboon). Its description in RNAcentral is "lncRNA (ENSPANG00000042601.1)". Lineage: Eukaryota; Metazoa; Chordata; Mammalia; Primates; Cercopithecidae. The record is from RNAcentral.